RNAcentral lists this ribosomal RNA (253 nucleotides) under uncultured bacterium. Its description in RNAcentral is "partial 16S ribosomal RNA". It matches the Rfam family "Bacterial small subunit ribosomal RNA", at positions 524 to 776 of the family's 1533-position model. The record is from RNAcentral.
UACGUAGGGCGCAAGCGUUGUCCGGAAUUAUUGGGCGUAAAGAGCUCGUAGGCGGCCUGUCGCAUCCGCUGUGAAAUCCCGGGGCUUAACCCCGGGCGUGCAGUGGAUACGGGCUGGCUAGAGGCAGGCAGGGGAGAACGGAAUUCCCGGUGUAGCGGUGAAAUGCGCAGAUAUCGGGAGGAACACCGGUGGCGAAGGCGGUUCUCUGGGCCUGUUCUGACGCUGAGGAGCGAAAGCGUGGGGAGCAAACAGG